Erinaceus europaeus (western European hedgehog) is the source of this 1033-nucleotide long non-coding RNA. RefSeq lists it as uncharacterized. The record is from RefSeq and is a predicted model, not a curated record. NCBI's taxonomy places the organism in Eukaryota, Metazoa, Chordata, Mammalia, Eulipotyphla, Erinaceidae. The transcript is spliced from 2 exons.
UCACAGGCGGUGAAGCAGGUCUGUAGGUGUCUGUCUUUCUCUCCCCGCUUUCCGUCUGCCUCUCCUCUCUCCAGUUCUCUCUGUCCUAUCCAACAACAACGACAUCAAUAACAACAAUAAUAAUUACAACAACAAGGACAACGAAAGGGAAUAAAUAAAUAUUAAAACAAAAAGAAAAUACAGACACAGACAGACAGACAGACACAUGAUAGAGCCAGAGCAUGACUCUGGCACAUGCGAUGCUGAGAACCGAAUUCUGGCCAUGAGCCACGCCUGCAAAUCGGACGCAGUAUGCACUGAGCCACCUCCCAGGUGGCGGAUCAUCAUAUUUAAAUAAAAAUAAUAACUGGUGGUGGGUGUGGUGUGGAACUACAUGUACUGUAACCUUACAAUCUUGCAAGCCACUUUAAUCACACUUAUUUUUAAAAAAGGCCUUGACCUCCAAAAAAAAAAAAAAAAAGGCCCACAGAAAUAUACAUUUAAAAAACUCUGUAAAGAACCUGCAUAUAAUAUGAAGCAAACCCACAAACAGAACCUGCUCGCAGGGACCGGAGAAUUUACUAAAGGUAUUUCCAGCCCGACCCGGCCAGCUCAGGGCGUGAGCACACACACACCCGCCGGGUCUGCGGGGCGCGGCCCGUGCACGCCCCUUUAAGAGGUCUGGGCCUGCCCGUAGCCCCGCCCCCCGACGGCCACAGAAGUUAACGAACUGCCAGGCGCAGCCUCCCCUUAAAGGGGAAACCCCUUUCUGUCGGCAGAGGAGGGAGAGCUUCCGCAGCGCUCUGCCUUAAAGAGCUUCUCGGGCCUCUCCACUUAAAAGGAGCCGGGCCUUCCUGUAUGUGUGAUCUCACUGCUCUGCCAUCCAGGCAGAGAGGGAGGGAGAGAGACUCUGACCACAGCGCCAGGGCUUCCUCCAGUGCCACAGCAUCUUCGGUGUGAUGCCAGGGCUCAAGCCUGAACCGCACCGCCCAUGGCAAAGCAGCCACCAUACCCAGUGAGCUCUCUACCCAGGAAAAUAAAUCAUCUUUUCUCU